Molecule: transfer-messenger RNA, 368 nt
Filed under: Anaerovoracaceae
Lineage: Bacteria; Bacillati; Bacillota; Clostridia; Peptostreptococcales
Also listed under: 2 other names
Description: JABZIP01 sp015258265 Standard tmRNA
Rfam family: transfer-messenger RNA
About the family: Bacterial tmRNA, also known as 10Sa RNA or SsrA, is named for its dual tRNA and mRNA-like properties. Its role is to liberate the mRNA from a stalled ribosome.
Source: RNAcentral
GGGGAUGUAAAGGUUUCGACGGGGGCACAGCAGCCCGAUAAGCGAGUCGCAGUUUGCCAAGUCUGCGUUAAAAAUGGCACGUUAAAUAUAAACGCUAAAAAUAAUAACACUUACGCAUUUGCUGCAUAAGCAGCCCGCUAUAUAGCGGAGCGUCGUCCACUUGCGCUCACCCGUAGGUGCAAGCAGGGCGCAGACAUACGGGAAAACUCUAUGUGAGCUCCUAGUAGCAUAGGGGAAUAAUAGGAUAGCAAGUUUGGGAGUGUGUCGUUGGACGCCCAAGCAAGCGAAAUUUAAAACAACGACUGUACUCGGAGAAAGUCGCGUGAAAGUGUUUUCGGACGCGAGUUCGACUCUCGCCAUCUCCACCA